Molecule: ribosomal RNA, 266 nt
Filed under: uncultured bacterium
Lineage: Bacteria
Description: partial 16S ribosomal RNA
Rfam family: Bacterial small subunit ribosomal RNA
Source: RNAcentral
GGUGUGCCUAAUACAUGCAAGUCGAGCGAAGAAAUUUCCUUCGGGAAAGAGUAAGAGCGGCGGACGGGUGAGUAAUACGUGAGUAACCUGCCUCAUUCAAAGGGAUAGCCACUGGAAACGGUGAUUAAUACCAUAUAAAACAGCAGCAUCGCAUGAUGUAACUGUCAAAGAUUUAUCGGAAUGAGAUGGACUCGCGCUUGAUUAGUUAGUUGGUGGGGUAACGGCCUACCAAGACAGCGAUCAAUAGCCGGCCUGAGAGGGUGAAC